CCUACGGGUGGCAGCAGUGAGGAAUAUUGGACAAUGGCCGAGAGGCUGAACCAGCCAAGUCGCGUGAGGGAAGACGGCCCUACGGGUUGUAAACCUCUUUUGACGGGGGACAAAGCGAGUCACGUGUGACUCAUGGAGAGUACCCGAAGAAAAAGCAUCGGCUUACGCCGUGCCAGAAGCGGGGGUAAUACGGAGGAUGUGAGCGUUAUCCGGGAUUAGUGGGAUUAAAGGGCGCGCAAGUGGAGGUGAAAGGCAGGUGUCAACUUGCGGGUCAAAAACCCGUACUGUCGGUGAAACUGCAUACCUUGAGUGCGCGAGGAGUAAGCGGAAUGGGUGGUGUAGCGGUGAAAUGCAUAGAUAUUACACAGAACUCCGAUAGCGAAGGCAGGAUACCGGCGCGCAACUGACGCUCAUGCACGAAAGCGUGGGUAGCGAACGGGAUUAGAUACCCCGGUAGUC
This 459-nucleotide ribosomal RNA is filed under the name uncultured bacterium. RNAcentral describes it as "partial 16S ribosomal RNA". It matches the Rfam family "Bacterial small subunit ribosomal RNA", at positions 338 to 795 of the family's 1533-position model. The record is from RNAcentral.